RNAcentral lists this ribosomal RNA (253 nucleotides) under uncultured bacterium. RNAcentral describes it as "partial 16S ribosomal RNA". It matches the Rfam family "Bacterial small subunit ribosomal RNA", at positions 524 to 776 of the family's 1533-position model. The record is from RNAcentral.
UACAGAGGUCUCAAGCGUUGUUCGGAUUCAUUGGGCGUAAAGGGUGCGUAGGUGGCGCGGUAAGUCGGGUGUGAAAUCUCGGAGCUUAACUCCGAAACUGCAUUCGAUACUACCGUGCUUGAGGACUGGAGAGGAGACUGGAAUUUACGGUGUAGCGGUGAAAUGCGUAGAUAUCGUAAGGAAGACCAGUGGCGAAGGCGGGUCUCUGGACAGUUCCUGACGCUGAGGCACGAAGGCCAGGGGAGCAAACGGG